Orcinus orca (killer whale) is the source of this 255-nucleotide long non-coding RNA. RefSeq lists it as uncharacterized. NCBI's taxonomy places the organism in Eukaryota, Metazoa, Chordata, Mammalia, Artiodactyla, Delphinidae. The transcript has 3 exons. The record is from RefSeq and is a predicted model, not a curated record.
UCUUAGAACUACAACUGUGUCCAGAUCCUGAUCUUGUUCUAAAAUCUAUAUCUAUUUAUCUAUCUGAAGGCUACAGGUCAAACUCUGAGGUUGGCAGUAUGGAGUCCCAUCCAGGGUUCUAGAUCCAGUUCUGAUAUGGGACUGGCAGAAGCAGCUGUUGCCUGAGCAUACCGGGCGGGGGUUUGUCUGAACGGGUGACUGUGGGAGAAGCUUAUUGCAAUAUCACUACAGGAUCACUGCUGUUGACUAGGAAGC